Molecule: long non-coding RNA, 1345 nt
Filed under: Anser brachyrhynchus (Pink-footed goose)
Lineage: Eukaryota; Metazoa; Chordata; Aves; Anseriformes; Anatidae
Description: lncRNA (ENSABRG00000010820.1)
Source: RNAcentral
CCCAGAUUCAUACUGACGUGCUCUUUAAUCCGUCAGGACUACUGACUUUGAGAACACUGCAUUUGUAUGAAGACAUAUUUAAGUUUUGACGUUAGCAAGAAAAUUUCUACUAUUUUUGGACAAUAAAAGUGUAGCCUGUGAUUUUAGUGGCAAUUCUUUACGUUGUUUUUCUGUAGCAAAUCAUUUCUUCUUUGGCUGCUGCUUUCUGUCCUGAUGCUGGAUGCAGUAUUUUGGUGGGGUGGAGAGCCUGUGAAGCACUUUGGGAUAGAGGGGGUUAGCAAAUGUGUGGUCCUGCUGGCUGUCUCCACACUCACAGUCAGUUUGUCCCCCAGGAGCAGCAGCACUGAGGCCAGUGGCCAGUGCCCUUGCGAAAGUGGUGCCAGAGGACAGUCCUGCUCUCAGUUCUCCCAAAUUCUUUCACAGCUCUGAUCCAAGCCUCUUGUAUGAGUAAAGGAGGUGCAGAGGGCAAGCAGUUAGAUGUACCAUACUAGCACGGAUGAGGAUGGAGUGAUGACAUGUUAAUCAGGAGGGCAAUAGGGGCCUGUAGCUCCCAGGUUGGCCAUACCAAGGGUAUGUGAAGGGGUUCACUGUGCUUCUUCUCCCCCAAACUCAUCCCCACUGAGGCCUUCCCUGCCAGGCCACUGAGUGUCUCUCUGCAAGCAGCCCUGUGUCAGCAGACAACCCCACCAGGACCUGCCAUUUCCUUACCCCUUCCCCACCUCAGCAGGGCCAAGGUGGGAGAACGGGGCAACUGGCUUGGUCCACGGAGGUAAGGUCAACAUGCACACUUUGAAGGGAAAAUGCAAGUCAAAGCAUAAUAAAGCACAAAGCCUUUAUCCUUUCUGGAAGAUUGCAGUACCUGACACCUCAUAAGUUUGCCCCUGAUUAUGGACACAGCCGGACUGAGGCCUUGCACUGCCGCCUGCCAUGUUUUCUUCAGAUGGAAAAUAAUCUUGGUCUUCAGUGCUGUAAAACAACAACCCAGUGUAAGAGGCAGCUCUGGUGACUCGAUGUGUUCCUCCUGUUUUGCAGGCAAAGGAGCCCCACGGCAGGGGAGAGCCGCUUCCCAGGUCCGAAACACGGCCCCUCUGGGGCAGCGACGACACAGCUACCUUUCAAGGCCCUAGGCAGAGAGUGAUUGCUUGAGGCAAGAGGGGAAGCCUUCUUCAAAGAAACCUGCUGUUUUCCAGUUCCUACACAGAAGGCCACCUUCAGGAGAUGGAAGGCUUUUGUUCAUGUGAAGAAGACGCUAUGUUGUCAACUGUUUUUUACCUGAACUGUAUCAGUGACUUAUGUCUGUAACUGUAUGAAAAGCUCAAAAACCUUCCCGCUACCCAGAAACUAG